GAUGAACGCUGGCGGCGUGCCUAAUACAUGCGAGUCGAGCGAACAGACGAGGAGCUUGCUCCUCUGACGUUAGCGGCGGACGGGUGAGUAACACGUGGAUAACCUACCUAUAAGACUGGGAUAACUUCGGGAAACCGGAGCUAAUACCGGAUAAUAUAUUGAACCGCAUGGUUCAAUAGUGAAAGACGGUUUUGCUGUCACUUAUAGAUGGAUCCGCGCCGCAUUAGCUAGUUGGUAAGGUAACGGCUUACCAAGGCAACGAUGCGUAGCCGACCUGAGAGGGUGAUCGGCCACACUGGAACUGAGACACGGUCCAGACUCCUACGGGAGGCAGCAGUAGGGAAUCUUCCGCAAUGGGCGAAAGCCUGACGGAGCAACGCCGCGUGAGUGAUGAAGGUCUUCGGAUCGUAAAACUCUGUUAUUAGGGAAGAACAAAUGUGUAAGUAACUAUGCACGUCUUGACGGUACCUAAUCAGAAAGCCACGGCUAAUUACGUG
RNAcentral lists this ribosomal RNA (497 nucleotides) under uncultured bacterium. Its description in RNAcentral is "partial 16S ribosomal RNA". It matches the Rfam family "Bacterial small subunit ribosomal RNA", at positions 28 to 507 of the family's 1533-position model. The record is from RNAcentral.